RNAcentral lists this ribosomal RNA (500 nucleotides) under uncultured bacterium. Its description in RNAcentral is "partial 16S ribosomal RNA". It matches the Rfam family "Bacterial small subunit ribosomal RNA", at positions 30 to 523 of the family's 1533-position model. The record is from RNAcentral.
AUUGAACGCUGGCGGCAUGCUUUACACAUGCAAGUCGAACGGCAGCACGGACUUCGGUCUGGUGGCGAGUGGCGAACGGGUGAGUAAUACAUCGGAACGUGCCCAGUUGUGGGGGAUAACUACUCGAAAGAGUAGCUAAUACCGCAUGAGAACUGAGGUUGAAAGCAGGGGAUCGUAAGACCUUGCGCAACUGGAGCGGCCGAUGUCAGAUUCGGUAGUUGGUGGGAUAAAAGCUUACCAAGCCGACGAUCUGUAGCUGGUCUGAGAGGACGACCAGCCACACUGGGACUGAGACACGGCCCAGACUCCUACGGGAGGCAGCAGUGGGGAAUUUUGGACAAUGGGCGAAAGCCUGAUCCAGCAAUGCCGCGUGCAGGAUGAAGGCCUUCGGGUUGUAAACUGCUUUUGUACGGAACGAAAAGCUUCGGGUUAAUACCCUGGAGUCAUGACGGUACCGUAAGAAUAAGCACCGGCUAACUACGUGCCAGCAGCCGCGGUAA